AUGCUUCGAGAUGUUAGAGCUCAAAAGGUGUUGGAAGCACUUGAAAUGGGUGAGAUUGAAAGUGGAAGUGGGCUAAAUCAAGUUCCUUCGUGGGAGGAUAUUUAUGAGCCUGAUCAAAGAUCACGUCGGUAUUAUGAAGUACAAACAAAUGAUGAUCGUUAUAGAAGAGAAGUAUAUCUUGGUGUCAUUGAUAAAACCAUUCAAGAGCUUGACAAUCGGUUUGAUGACGUUAAUACGGAGUUGCUUAUUUGUAUGUCGGCUUUGAAUCCCCUCAAUUCAUUUGCUUCUUAUGAUGCACUCAAGGUAAUGAGACUUGCUGAAUUCUAUCCCAUGGACAUUUCAAGUACAGAUUUGAUAAGGCUAGAAUUUCAACUUACUAAUUUUAUUGAUGAUAUGAGACAAGAUGAUAGGUUUAGAAAUGCAAAUAAUAUUGGUGAGCUCUCUAUUAUGCUUGUUGCAACAAACAAGCAUGUUCUUUAUGAUUUGGUCUACUUACUCAUCAAAUUGAUAUUGAUUUUACCGGUGGCGACGGUGAGUGCUGAAAGAGUGUUUUCAGCAAUGAAUCUAGUGAAAAAUAAGUUGAGGACUACUAUGAAUCAUGAUCGCUUGAAUGAUUGCUUGGUGACAUUUAUUGAACGGGGUGUGUUCAUGGAAGUAAGCAAAGAUAACAUAGUUGAUGCUUUCAUGGCAAUGCAAAAACGUAGAGUUACCUAG
This 714-nucleotide ribosomal RNA is filed under the name Triticum aestivum (bread wheat). RNAcentral describes it as "partial small subunit ribosomal RNA". Lineage: Eukaryota; Viridiplantae; Streptophyta; Magnoliopsida; Poales; Poaceae. The record is from RNAcentral.